This 496-nucleotide ribosomal RNA is filed under the name uncultured bacterium. Its description in RNAcentral is "partial 16S ribosomal RNA". It matches the Rfam family "Bacterial small subunit ribosomal RNA", at positions 29 to 507 of the family's 1533-position model. The record is from RNAcentral.
AUGAACGCUGGCGGCGUGCCUAAUACAUGCAAGUCGAGCGAACAGAUAAGGAGCUUGCUCCUUUGACGUUAGCGGCGGACGGGUGAGUAACACGUGGAUAACCUACCUAUAAGACUGGGAUAACUUCGGGAAACCGGAGCUAAUACCGGAUAACAUAUUGAACCGCAUGGUUCCAUAGUGAAAGGCGGCCUUGCUCUCACUUAUAGACGGAUCCGCGCCGUAUUAGCUAGUUGGUAAGGUAACGGCUUACCAAGGCAACGAUACGUAGACGACCUGAGAGGGUGAUCGGCCACACUGGAACUGAGACACGGUCCAGACUCCUACGGGAGGCAGCAGUAGGGAAUCUUCCACAAUGGGCGAAAGCCUGACGGAGCAACGCCGCGUGAGUGAUGAAGGUCUUCGGAUCGUAAAACUCUGUUAUCAGGGAAGAACAAAUGUGUAAGUAACUGUGCACAUCUUGACGGUACCUGAUCAGAAAGCCACGGCUAACUACGUG